CGAGUCGAUCCAUCACAGGAAGUCAAAGUCGUAACUAGGUUUCCCUAGGUGAACCUGCGGAAGGAUCAUUACUGAGCUGUCGACACGAGCUGUUGCUGGUCCUCAAACAAGGGGGCAUGUGCACGCUCUGUUCACACAUCUACUCACAGGUGCACCGUCUGUAGUUUUAUGGUCUGGGGGACACACCGUCUUCCUCCCGUGGCUCUACGUCUUUACACACACAUCGUAGUUAAGUUUUAUGGAAUGUGCAUCGCUUUUAACGUAAUACAAUACAACUUUCAGCAACGGAUCUCUUGGCUCUCGCAUCGAUGAAGAACGCAGCGAAAUGCGAUAAGUUAUGUGAAUUGCAGAAUUCAGUGAAUCAUCGAAUCUUUGAACGCACCUUGCGCCCCUUGGCUAUUCCGAGGGGCAUGCCUGUUUGAGUAUCAUGAACACCUCAACUCCUCAUGUUUCCCGUGAUGAGCUUGGACUUCUGGAGGUUUUGCUUACCUGCGGUCUCUCCUCUCAAACGCAUCAGCUUGCCAGUGUUUGGUGGCAUCACUGGUGAGAUAACUAUCUAUGCUCGUGGCCGUCUGCCAGAUAACCUUCAGCGAUGGAGGUUUGCUUGAGCUCACAAAGGUCUUUCCACAGCCAAGACUGCUUUUUUAACUUUCGAUCUCAAAUCCCGUAGGACACCCGCUGAACCGUAGCUGACUAGCGCGCCUAA
This 706-nucleotide ribosomal RNA is filed under the name uncultured Thelephora. Its description in RNAcentral is "eukaryotic LSU rRNA". The stretch from base 274 to 428 matches the Rfam family "5.8S ribosomal RNA". Lineage: Eukaryota; Fungi; Basidiomycota; Agaricomycetes; Thelephorales; Thelephoraceae. The record is from RNAcentral.